RNAcentral lists this ribosomal RNA (507 nucleotides) under uncultured bacterium. RNAcentral describes it as "bacterial SSU rRNA". It matches the Rfam family "Bacterial small subunit ribosomal RNA", at positions 28 to 523 of the family's 1533-position model. The record is from RNAcentral.
GAUGAACGCUAGCGGCAGGCUUAACACAUGCAAGUCGAGGGGUAGAGGAAGCUUGCUUCCUUGAGACCGGCGCACGGGUGCGUAACGCGUAUACAAUCUACCUUUUACAGAGGGAUAGCCCCAGAGAAAUUUGGAUUAAUACCUCAUAGUAUUUUCGGAUCGCAUGAUUUGAUUAUUAAAGUUCCAACGGUAUAAGAUGAGCAUGCGUCCCAUUAGUUAGUUGGUAAGGUAACGGCUUACCAAGACAAUGAUGGGUAGGGGUCCUGAGAGGGAGAUCCCCCACACUGGUACUGAGACACGGACCAGACUCCUACGGGAGGCAGCAGUGAGGAAUAUUGGUCAAUGGGCGCAAGCCUGAUCCAGCAAUGCCCGCGUGCAGGAUGAAGGCCCUUGGUUGUAACUGCUUUGUACGGAACGAAACGGUGAGCUCUAAUACAGUUUGGUCUAAAUUAGACGGGUAACCCGUAAGGAAUAAGCACGGCUAACACGUGCCAGCAGCCGCGGUAA